ACAGAAGCUGAAUUAUGGCCGUGAAGACGAAUCUCUCUCCCUGCUUUAGACGGAAGAGCUGAAGAAUGAAAACAAAGAAUCCCACACAGCACAAGAUGGUGGCCAGUAUCAUGGUGGCCUGCACUGCCUGAAGAUAUGCUGAUAAAGACAAAGACAACAAACACAAGCUGCCUUCCUGUGCUCUGCUGAGGGGAGGAACCAGGGGAGGAGAACCGUGAGACCAAAAACUCAAAACACCAUGCCCACAAAUCUGCGAUUUGAACCAGGAAAUGUGUUGAGCAGAUGAUUCAGAUGCCAUGAAUACAUUCAAGGGAUACUUAGACAAUAUGUAUGUGAUUUUUUUCUCUCUCAGUUGAACACUAAAGAAGAAUUUGUCCACUGCC
Non-coding RNA from Danio rerio (zebrafish), 383 nucleotides. Lineage: Eukaryota; Metazoa; Chordata; Actinopteri; Cypriniformes; Danionidae. The record is from RefSeq and is a predicted model, not a curated record.